RNAcentral lists this transfer RNA (72 nucleotides) under Pangasianodon gigas (Mekong giant catfish). Its description in RNAcentral is "tRNA-Glu". It matches the Rfam family "tRNA". From Rfam's summary of the family: Transfer RNA (tRNA) molecules are approximately 80 nucleotides in length. The record is from RNAcentral. Lineage: Eukaryota; Metazoa; Chordata; Actinopteri; Siluriformes; Pangasiidae.
UCCCUGGAGGACUAGUGGUUAGGCCACAGCACUCUCACUGCUGUGGCCCUGAUUCGAUUCCCGGCCAGGGAA